This 323-nucleotide ribosomal RNA is filed under the name Terribacillus saccharophilus. Its description in RNAcentral is "bacterial SSU rRNA". It matches the Rfam family "Bacterial small subunit ribosomal RNA", at positions 1 to 300 of the family's 1533-position model. Lineage: Bacteria; Bacillati; Bacillota; Bacilli; Caryophanales; Bacillaceae. The record is from RNAcentral.
UUCAUGGAGAGUUUGAUCUUGGCUCAGGACGAACGCUGGCGGCGUGCCUAAUACAUGCAAGUCGAGCGCAGGAAACCAGAUGACCCCUUCGGGGUGAUUCUGGUGGAAUGAGCGGCGGACGGGUGAGUAACACGUGGGCAACCUGCCUGUAAGACUGGGAUAACUUCGGGAAACCGGAGCUAAUACCGGAUAGUAUUUCCUUUCUCCUGAUUGGAAAUGGAAAGACGGUUUCGGCUGUCACUUACAGAUGGGCCCGCGGUGCAUUAGCUAGUUGGUGGGGUAAUGGCCCACCAAGGCGACGAUGCAUAGCCGACCUGAGAGGG